This 482-nucleotide ribosomal RNA is filed under the name Lysobacterales bacterium 'ARUP UnID 133'. RNAcentral's name for it is "bacterial SSU rRNA". It matches the Rfam family "Bacterial small subunit ribosomal RNA", at positions 27 to 504 of the family's 1533-position model. The record is from RNAcentral. Lineage: Bacteria; Pseudomonadati; Pseudomonadota; Gammaproteobacteria; Lysobacterales.
GAGUGAACGCUGGCGGCAGGCCUAACACAUGCAAGUCGAGCGGCAGCGGGUCCUUCGGGAUGCCGGCGAGCGGCGGACGGGUGAGGAAUGCAUCGGAAUCUGCCUCUAUGUGGGGGAUAACGUAGGGAAACUUACGCUAAUACCGCAUACGACCUACGGGUGAAAGCCGGGGACCUUCGGGCCUGGCGCAGAGAGAUGAGCCGAUGCCGGAUUAGCUAGUUGGCGGGGUAAAGGCCCACCAAGGCGACGAUCCGUAGCUGGUCUGAGAGGAUGAUCAGCCACACUGGAACUGAGACACGGUCCAGACUCCUACGGGAGGCAGCAGUGGGGAAUAUUGGACAAUGGGCGCAAGCCUGAUCCAGCCAUGCCGCGUGAGUGAAGAAGGCCUUCGGGUUGUAAAGCUCUUUUGUUGGGGAAGAAAAGCUUCCGGUUAAUACCCGGGAGUCCUGACGGUACCCAAAGAAUMAGCACCGGCUAACUUC